AUAAUGGGUCAGCGACUUAUAUUCUGUAGCAAGGUUAACCGAAUAGGGGAGCCGAAGGGAAACCGAGUCUUAACUGGGCGUUAAGUUGCAGGGUAUAGACCCGAAACCCGGUGAUCUAGCCAUGGGCAGGUUGAAGGUUGGGUAACACUAACUGGAGGACCGAACCGACUAAUGUUGAAAAAUUAGCGGAUGACUUGUGGCUGGGGGUGAAAGGCCAAUCAAACCGGGAGAUAGCUGGUUCUCCCCGAAAGCUAUUUAGGUAGCGCCUCGUGAAUUCAUCUCCGGGGGUAGAGCACUGUUUCGGCAAGGGGGUCAUCCCGACUUACCAACCCGAUGCAAACUGCGAAUACCGGAGAAUGUUAUCACGGGAGACACACGGCGGGUGCUAACGUCCGUCGUGAAGAGGGAAACAACCCAGACCGCCAGCUAAGGUCCCAAAGUCAUGGUUAAGUGGGAAACGAUGUGGGAAGGCCCAGACAGCCAGGAUGUUGGCUUAGAAGCAGCCAUCAUUUAAAGAAAGCGUAAUAGCUCACUGGUCGAGUCGGCCUGCGCGGAAGAUGUAACGGGGCUAAACCAUGCACCGAAGCUGCGGCAGCGACGCUGAUGCGUUGUUGGGUAGGGGAGCGUUCUGUAAGCCUGCGAAGGUGUGCUGUGAGGCAUGCUGGAGGUAUCAGAAGUGCGAAUGCUGACAUAAGUAACGAUAAAGCGGGUGAAAAGCCCGCUCGCCGGAAGACCAAGGGUUCCUGUCCAACGUUAAUCGGGGCAGGGUGAGUCGACCCCUAAGGCGAGGCCGAAAGGCGUAGUCGAUGGGAAACAGGUUAAUAUUCCUGUACUUGGUGUUACUGCGAAGGGGGGACGGAGAAGGCUAUGUUGGCCGGGCGACGGUUGUCCCGGUUUAAGCGUGUAGGCUGGUUUUCCAGGCAAAUCCGGAAAAUCAAGGCUGAGGCGUGAUGACGAGGCACUACGGUGCUGAAGCAACAAAUGCCCUGCUUCCAGGAAAAGCCUCUAAGCAUCAGGUAACAUCAAAUCGUACCCCAAACCGACACAGGUGGUCAGGUAGAGAAUACCAAGGCGCUUGAGAGAACUCGGGUGAAGGAACUAGGCAAAAUGGUGCCGUAACUUCGGGAGAAGGCACGCUGAUAUGUAGGUGAAGUCCCUCGCGGAUGGAGCUGAAAUCAGUCGAAGAUACCAGCUGGCUGCAACUGUUUAUUAAAAACACAGCACUGUGCAAACACGAAAGUGGACGUAUACGGUGUGACGCCUGCCCGGUGCCGGAAGGUUAAUUGAUGGGGUUAGCGCAAGCGAAGCUCUUGAUCGAAGCCCCGGUAAACGGCGGCCGUAACUAUAACGGUCCUAAGGUAGCGAAAUUCCUUGUCGGGUAAGUUCCGACCUGCACGAAUGGCGUAAUGAUGGCCAGGCUGUCUCCACCCGAGACUCAGUGAAAUUGAACUCGCUGUGAAGAUGCAGUGUACCCGCGGCAAGACGGAAAGACCCCGUGAACCUUUACUAUAGCUUGACACUGAACAUUGAGCCUUGAUGUGUAGGAUAGGUGGGAGGCUUUGAAGUGUGGACGCCAGUCUGCAUGGAGCCGACCUUGAAAUACCACCCUUUAAUGUUUGAUGUUCUAACGU
This 1631-nucleotide ribosomal RNA is filed under the name Escherichia coli. RNAcentral's name for it is "partial 23S ribosomal RNA". It matches the Rfam family "Bacterial large subunit ribosomal RNA", at positions 612 to 2228 of the family's 2925-position model. The record is from RNAcentral. Lineage: Bacteria; Pseudomonadati; Pseudomonadota; Gammaproteobacteria; Enterobacterales; Enterobacteriaceae. RNAcentral also lists the same sequence under 1 other name.